RNAcentral lists this ribosomal RNA (243 nucleotides) under uncultured bacterium. Its description in RNAcentral is "partial 16S ribosomal RNA". It matches the Rfam family "Bacterial small subunit ribosomal RNA", at positions 524 to 764 of the family's 1533-position model. The record is from RNAcentral.
UACGGAGGGUGCGAGCGUUGUCCGGAAUCACUGGGCGUAAAGGGCGCGUAGGUGGCCUGUGGAAGUCUGCGGUGAAAGCCCGGCGCUCAACGCCGGGUCGGCCGUGGAUACUCUCGGGCUCGAGCUUACUAGAGGCAGAUGGAAUUCCGGGUGUAGCGGUGGAAUGCGUAGAGAUCCGGAAGAACACCGGUGGCGAAGGCGGUCUGCUGGGGUAAUGCUGACACUGAUGCGCGGACAGCGUGG